UAAAAAUGCUAAUAUGCUAUGCUAAAUCUGCUAUGCUAAAUAAUGAUUUCUCUAUAGAAUUACAAAGUCCGACUGGGGGAGGAGAGUACAGGGCUGUGUCUCAAUUCAGGGUCUGCAUCCUACGUCGGCCGGUUACGUCACAGCGCCGCGACUAGGCCUGUCCCAAUUCGAAGACUCCUUCAAAUGCGGUCGACGAAUGCGGCCUUCUUUUCGCCUGAAUGAAGGAUGGGUCCGGUGUAUCCUUCAAUAGGUAGCAUUUCCCAAGAUGCCUUGCGGGCCGGCCGGCAGAAAAGCUUAAAAACAAUGGCGGACAGUGAAGCGGGAGCUGUCGGAGAGGAUUGCGCAUAUAAAUGUCAGUAUAAACUUGAAAACUGUUAGGUUAAGGACUUUUUGUGAUACAUGAACGUUAUUUUAGUUAGAAAUGUGACAGUAAAAGUGCUUGUAUUGCGGUCUCAGCUUGUAUGUUCGGCCGCGCUCGGUGUCGUACUUCUCCCGCUACGUUUCCCCCCUGAUUUUAAUAGGAGUUUGUAUUUUAGGUACAAGAGAAAACCAGGGAAUUUAUUAAGCUUAGGGCGGAGAUGGACCACAUGAUCACCGGAGCAAAGUAUUCGGCGGCUGUGGCAUGGAGACUAUUCUGGAGAAAAUGGGCAUCCAGGGGAAGGUGCCAGCGAUGACCAGCUUCUGGAGCUGAUCAGGGAGGACAUGAGGCUGCAGAGGGAGGCAGAGCAGCAGAGGGCCCAGGAGAGAAGGAAGAAUUUUGACAGCUUUUUACUUUGCUAGAAAAAAAUGGUUAAGGAAGAUUAAACAUGUACAUAUAAAAGAAAUAUCUAAAUAAAAUCAGUUCUGCAUUAAA
Non-coding RNA from Nothobranchius furzeri (turquoise killifish), 853 nucleotides. The record is from RefSeq and is a predicted model, not a curated record. Lineage: Eukaryota; Metazoa; Chordata; Actinopteri; Cyprinodontiformes; Nothobranchiidae.